GGGCAUUUAGCUCAGUGGCAUAAGCACCUGCCUUGCAAGCAGGUGGUUAUGAGUUCGAUCCUGGUACCG
This is a non-coding RNA of Cavia porcellus (domestic guinea pig), 69 nucleotides long. The record is from Rfam. Lineage: Eukaryota; Metazoa; Chordata; Mammalia; Rodentia; Caviidae.